Tinamus guttatus (white-throated tinamou) is the source of this 481-nucleotide non-coding RNA. NCBI's taxonomy places the organism in Eukaryota, Metazoa, Chordata, Aves, Tinamiformes, Tinamidae. The record is from RefSeq and is a predicted model, not a curated record.
GCAGAUAUGGUCAAAAAUAUGUCCAAAAUCAGAUCAGUGAAACAAACACGUAACGCAGAUCACCCCUCCCACAGACUCUUAACCUUCUGAGCAUGACAAAAUGUAACACAACUCAAUGUCAAUGUGGAGACAAGAACCCAGCAUCUUUGUUUCAACUUUUUCCUUUGUUAUAUAUUACAGUGCUCUAUAAAAUUUUUCCUUUUUCCUUUUAAAGCAUUUAGACAAUACAAGACUAAAAGAUGUCUGGAAAUACGUCUUAUACAAAAAUGAAUUUUUAUCUUAAAAUAACAUUCAAAAAGGCACUUCAUUCUGUAAGAAAAAAUUCAGAGUCAGGUCAACUGCUCUAAGCAGGGGGGUGGGUAAAAUUGUCUGCAUAGUGGGAGGGGAAGAAAGGGAGAGAAAUUAACUGCUGAAAUACAAGCUUCUUUUUUGGCAUGUUUUAAGAAAAGCUGAUCCAGUAAAAGGUGUCCAUUUAUGAAAU